AUACGGAGGGUGCAAGCGUUACUCGGAAUCACUGGGCGUAAAGCGCGCGCAGGCGGUCUUUUAAGUUGGAUGUGAAAGCCUACAGCUCAACUGUAGAACUGCAUCCAAAACUAUUAGACUAGAGUCUGGGAGGGGAAGAUGGAAUUAGUUGUGUAGGGGUAAAAUCCGUAGAGAUAACUAGGAAUACCAAAAGCGAAGGCGAUCUUCUGGAACAGUACUGACGCUGAGGCGCGAAAGCGUGGGGAGCAAACAGGAUUAGAUACCCCGGUAGUCC
Molecule: ribosomal RNA, 274 nt
Filed under: uncultured bacterium
Lineage: Bacteria
Description: partial 16S ribosomal RNA
Rfam family: Bacterial small subunit ribosomal RNA
Source: RNAcentral